This 164-nucleotide ribosomal RNA is filed under the name Agrostis stolonifera. RNAcentral describes it as "5.8S ribosomal RNA". It matches the Rfam family "5.8S ribosomal RNA". Rfam says of the family: 5.8S ribosomal RNA (5.8S rRNA) is a component of the large subunit of the eukaryotic ribosome. It is transcribed by RNA polymerase I as part of the 45S precursor that also contains 18S and 28S rRNA. Lineage: Eukaryota; Viridiplantae; Streptophyta; Magnoliopsida; Poales; Poaceae. The record is from RNAcentral. RNAcentral also lists the same sequence under 9 other names.
CACACGACUCUCGGCAACGGAUAUCUCGGCUCUCGCAUCGAUGAAGAACGUAGCGAAAUGCGAUACCUGGUGUGAAUUGCAGAAUCCCGCGAACCAUCGAGUCUUUGAACGCAAGUUGCGCCCGAGGCCAUUCGGCUGAGGGCACGCCUGCCUGGGCGUCACGC